GACGAACGCUGGCGGCGUGCUUAACACAUGCAAGUCGAACGGAAAGGCCCUGCUUUUGUGGGGUGCUCGAGUGGCGAACGGGUGAGUAACACGUGAGUAACCUGCCCUUGACUUUGGGAUAACUUCAUGAAACUGGGGCUAAUACCGGAUAGGAGCUCCUGCUGCAUGGUGGGGGUUGGAAAGUUUCGGCGGUUGGGGAUGGACUCGCGGCUUAUCAGCUUGUUGGUGGGGUAGUGGCUUACCAAGGCUUUGACGGGUAGCCGGCCUGCGAGGGUGACCGGCCACAUUGGGACUGAGAUACGGCACAGACUACUACGGGAGGCAGCAGUGGGGAAUAUUGCACAAUGGGCGGAGGCCUGAUGCAGCAACGCCGCGUGCGGGAUGACGGCCUUCGGGUUGUAAACCGAUUUCGCCUGUGACGAAGCGUGAGUGACGGUAAUGGGUAAAGAAGCACCGGCUAACUACGUG
This 468-nucleotide ribosomal RNA is filed under the name uncultured bacterium. RNAcentral's name for it is "partial 16S ribosomal RNA". It matches the Rfam family "Bacterial small subunit ribosomal RNA", at positions 28 to 507 of the family's 1533-position model. The record is from RNAcentral.